UACAGAGGUGGCAAGCGUUGUUCGGAAUUACUGGGCGUAAAGGGCGCGUAGGCGGUCUUGCAAGUCCUGUGUGAAAUCCCUCGGCUCAACUGAGGAAUUGCACGGGAAACUGCUUGGCUUGAGUUCGGGAGAGGGAAGCGGAAUUCCGGGUGUAGCGGUGAAAUGCGUAGAUAUCCGGAGGAACACCGGUGGCGAAGGCGGCUUCCUGGACCGACACUGACGCUGAGGCGCGAAAGCUAGGGGAGCAAACGGG
RNAcentral lists this ribosomal RNA (253 nucleotides) under uncultured bacterium. RNAcentral's name for it is "partial 16S ribosomal RNA". It matches the Rfam family "Bacterial small subunit ribosomal RNA", at positions 524 to 776 of the family's 1533-position model. The record is from RNAcentral.